AAGGAAUUGAACAAAAAGUGCUUGAAAAAUGCAGGGCGGUUGGGGUGAGGGGUAACAGGAGCCCCCACUGCAGCCCAGCUUCAGAGGCUUCUCUCCAGAGUCUGCAGGCUCUUGAAGAACAGGAACAAUUGCCCUAAACCAGGGGCUGCCAUGUGGCAUUUGGGAAUUCAUCUCCGCGGGCCCUGUUGUGCCUGUUUGCAGCUCUGUGAAGCUGAAAAUGUGGUUCUGUUUCCUGCAGUUGUGAAAUGGGCAGAUGACUCUUAAUUAGGCUGAGAAUAAUUUGGCAGUCAACCCCAUCACAGCUCUAGCAUCCACCACCUCCCAUGCCACCUCCCACAUCGCCUCUUGCCUUCCAGCAGUACCUUUCCUGCCACAGUGGGAUGAGGGAGUGUUGGGGAUGAGCCUGCACAGGCUGGAAACUGGGGAUAUGGGGGCAGGGUGACACAGAGUUGUUGCUGGCUCCAUCCCCACCAGAUUUAUUCUGCUUUGCUGAGCAGAAAAGCCACGGAGUGAGCUGGAUGUCUGGCUGGGUGCUGAUGCUGAGGUGUUUGGGAGCACUGCUGAGCUCCCACAGAGCCAGAGUGGUUGGUGAUAGAACUUGAUGUGUUUAUGUUUUAUUUCAAUUUUAUGCUGCUUUUUUUUAGAGGUGAAACUGUCUGGGCAGCUCCAGCAAAGCCAGUGACACUGGAGGCUCUGGAAAUGGAUGGAGAUCUUCAUGUCACCACAGGAAUGGGAUUUGCUUGUAAAGAGCAUCUUCAAGAUGAAACCUGGUCCAUGCAUGAAGACCACUCUCUGCUGGAGAAAUGCACAACACAAAGAAAAUGUGCAGCUCCCAGGACAGCCCAAAAGUUGGCCAGGAGAAGGAGAGGAGACACAGGAGAGAGAAGAAAGACGGGAGGUGCUUAGAGCCUUGGGGAUGGCUCCUGUGCCAGAGCAGGGGCAGUGCAGAGCAGCUGUUGGUAUGACCCACACGAUGCCAGUGACUCAGUGGCUGAAUCAGAUGAGGAGUGUCCUGGUCCCAUCCUCCAGGGAGGUGCACUGGGGUGAUGCCAGAAGGGCCCAGCCUGUGCCAUUCCCACAGUGUCAGCAGCUCAGGGUGGGAGUUGAUGUGUGGCGGGUGACUGAUCUGACUCUCACCUCUGGGAGAAGAGAACCAGCACUCAUGCUGUGCUUUGAGCCAGCUGAACAGCCUCCUGCCCCUUUUAGCUUUCCCCAGCCUCGUAACACUUUGGUCCCUUUGCACACAGGUUCUAACCUCUCAGGAGCCACAGGUCUCUGCCAGAGUAGGUCACCAGCCUGAGCAUGUUGGAUUCAUGUGGGACACAGGGGCUUUCCUGAGAAAUCUGCCUUGGUGUCUCUAUUUUGCCCUAAUUGGAUGGCUUUGCUGUGGGUUCCUAGUCUGCCCUGCUCUGAGAGUCUCUCUCUAUGUUUGUUUAUCCCUCAGUUUUUGUGAAAACCCACCAGC
Molecule: long non-coding RNA, 1465 nt
Filed under: Lonchura striata (white-rumped munia)
Lineage: Eukaryota; Metazoa; Chordata; Aves; Passeriformes; Estrildidae
Description: domestica (Bengalese finch) lncRNA (ENSLSDG00000011176.1)
Source: RNAcentral